AUUGAACGCUGGCGGCAGGCCUAACACAUGCAAGUCGAGCGGAUGAAGGGAGCUUGCUCCUGGAUUCAGCGGCGGACGGGUGAGUAAUGCCUAGGAAUCUGCCUGGUAGUGGGGGAUAACGUCCGGAAACGGGCGCUAAUACCGCAUACGUCCUGAGGGAGAAAGUGGGGGAUCUUCGGACCUCACGCUAUCAGAUGAGCCUAGGUCGGAUUAGCUAGUUGGUGGGGUAAAGGCCUACCAAGGCGACGAUCCGUAACUGGUCUGAGAGGAUGAUCAGUCACACUGGAACUGAGACACCGUCCAGGCUCCUACGGGAGGCAGCAGUGGGGAAUAUUGGACAAUGGGCGAAAGCCUGAUCCAGCCAUGCCGCGUGUGUGAAGAAGGUCUUCGGAUUGUAAAGCACUUUAAGUUGGGAGGAAGGGCAGUAAGUUAAUACCUUGCUGUUUUGACGUUACCAACAGAAUAAGCACCGGCUAACUUCGUG
This 484-nucleotide ribosomal RNA is filed under the name uncultured bacterium. RNAcentral describes it as "partial 16S ribosomal RNA". It matches the Rfam family "Bacterial small subunit ribosomal RNA", at positions 30 to 507 of the family's 1533-position model. The record is from RNAcentral.